Long non-coding RNA from Sapajus apella (tufted capuchin), 2239 nucleotides. RefSeq lists it as uncharacterized. NCBI's taxonomy places the organism in Eukaryota, Metazoa, Chordata, Mammalia, Primates, Cebidae. The record is from RefSeq and is a predicted model, not a curated record. The transcript has 2 exons.
GAAAAAUUACUAUUUCAUUCAUAAAAGGAAAAAUAGUUUACAUGGAUAGACCUUGUUUUAAACAAAAAUCACAACUCUUGUUUUGUGAAAAAGGGGUGCUUUUUGCUGUAGAACUCCUUGUUCUGGGAUCACUUAUCAUUAUUUCAGUGAUGAAGGAACUCUGAACUCCUAAGCAAACCAUGCCAUGACAUACUUUCUAUACAUGCACAAAAGUUGGAUAAAACACAAAACCAGCAUUUUGACAAAUUCACUUUAAAAUGUUUUCCACAUCAACUACUUAAAAGAAGUUACAACAAUAUUGAUCUUCCACUGCCCAGGAAGAUACAGUGAACUUGGAUAUGAUGAAGAACAUUAAAAACAAACACACUGAGCACCUGGUUCUGGCUGUGUGGGCUACAGAAAUGUUUCCUGAGUUUGUUUCAGGUGAUGUGUUGAGCAUCAACUGUGCACAGUUCACCAGCAGCAACACUCUGGUUCUUUAGUAUGUUCCUAAUGUGAACCUAUUUCUUUGAAUUUAAUCAUCUGGGAUGACUGCUGCAGUAUGAGUCUUUAGCAUUUUGAAAAUCCCUCAGAAGAAGAUUAAGAAGGUUCCUCUUCCCAGAAGACACUCAUAUAACUCACGCUUCUUCUAUAGGGCUAACUGUUCAGAAAUCGUAAGGUGCAUGGUCAUUACCAGGUGAGCAGCUCUGCAGGGGCCCAUGGCCCAUACUCAUCCCUGCGUGUCCAGGAGAGGCAGCCUGUAUAUGAGCAGUAGGAAGUGGCAUAACAAUGCAGAAGGGCUCAAGGCAACUUGGCAUUUUUUUGUGGUCAAACUCAGGCUCAUCAAGAGUCAUAUGGACUCAUCUCAAUUUGUAUAUACACCUUCAGACCCAUACAGAUAGAUGUAUAAAAACAUGAUCAUUUCUGUUCUUCACACAGUACUUAGAAUUCUGACAAGAAAUAUUACAAGUUUAUAUAAAUGCCCAUUUGCAUAUCAGCUUACAAAUUCAAAAGUUCUCAGAGGCUGGGCGCGGUGGGCCAUGCCUGUAAUCUCAGCACUUUGGGAGGCUGAGGCAAUGGAUCACUUGAGGUCAGGAGUUUGCGACCAUCUUGGCCAACAUGGCGAAACCCCGUCUCUAAUAAGAAUACAACCAGGUGUGGUGGCGGACACCUGUAAUCCCAGCUACUCAGGAGGCUGAGGCAGGAAAAUCACUUGAACCCAGGAGGUGGAGGUUGCAGUGAGCUGAGAUUGUGCCAUUGCAUUCCAGGCUGGGUGACGGAGCGACACUUUGACUCAAAAAAGAAAGUUCUCAGAGAAUAGGAAAUACUGUUUUAGCCAUCAGCUUUGGCUGAGAGUACUUCUGACACCCACAGGAAACUGCAAAGGUUUUCUCCCCAAGUUGUAAAUUCCUUUUAUCCAUUUAUGACAUUUUCUCUAUCAUGUACUAAAUUCUAUCCAUCUUCACAUUGAUUUAUUAUUGUUAUCAAAAUACAUUCAAACUGUUUAUAUACAUACACAUAUAGGUGGAUAUGUGUAUAUAUAUAUAUAUAUGUGUAUAUAUAUGUACAUAUAUAUUUAUUUGGUUGAAUCUUAUGAAACUGCUAAUUUUUGACCACAUUUGACCUAUGAAAUUAGUUUUUUUCAUAGGGUUGAACCUAAUGAAAUCUGAACCGUAGCUGGCUGGCUAUAUCUUAUAUAUUACUAAGCAGUACUUUCUGCUUUACUUCAGGGAGAAUGAAAAUCCUUACCCCAUUCACCAGUUCUCGUGUGGCCUUGCAAAAUUGUGCUUGCAAACUGCUAAUGAAUUUCAUAAAAAUACUUAGAGGUAUAGUAAUUUCCACGUAUUUAGCAUUUAACUGGAAAAAAAAAAAGGUCGAAACUGAGCAUGUUAUCUUUGUAACUACAUCACCCACUACUUACCUGGAACAGCCUACCUUAUCUUUAUAAAGACGGCUUUUGCAGGCUUAGGCCAGGUCUAGAAUCAACAGGCCAAACAAUAAAAUAUCAAAGCAUUUCAACUGGGAAUUCUGCUGCCUCUAUGUCCUCCAUAACAUUCAAUAUUUAGAGUGCCUGAGACACUGCGCUAAACACCAGUAAAAGAGAAACGCCCCGAAAACUUCAAGAAACUUACCAUCUUUCAAGAAAUAUAAAAAUAUAAAUAAUAGGGUAUUCUAGGUGUUUUAACUUUCAAACUGGGACAGAGUAAAAUGUAAAAAGACAGCACUUCAGAAGUUUUAAACUGACUUCAAAGGAAAAAGG